UUCCGCACCCCCUUCCUUCCCUCCUCAUCAUCAUCCAGCCGCUUAGGACCGUUUCAGCGUUUCUACUCCGUCGUAUCGAGCGCCCGCGUACUCCAAGUCUGCAGAGCAAAAAUAUAAGAACCAGCCGUGCCACCCACUCAGUGUCAAGAGGAUGGGUCAGUCGGCCUCCUCCUCGCAGGAAAACCCUUCAACGGGCGGGGGCUUCAUUUCCUCCGCCAUCCAUUACCAGUCCCGUCGUGCUGGUAGAGCAGAGUCGCCCGCCAUGGAGGUGCAGAGCAUGCUUUGCACCCUGAACUUUCCUCCUUCGGCGUCUGGCGCGGGCGCAGAAGGAGUGGAUAGUCCCACAUGCACGGUCAGUUCCGCCGGCAAUGCGAGUGGCGCUGCUGCGGCCAUCCCCAUUUUAUGCCUCGACGCGUCGGCGCUGGACAUCCGCCAGUUAUUGAAGUCGCUGGAGCUGCCGCCAGCGCAGUGCGCCAAGGCUCUCCAAGAGGCAUCGAGGAAAGCUAGCGGUGUUCUCCUGCACGCCCCUGCCAACACAAGUGUGGAUGCGCUGAGGCAGUUCCUGCUGGCCCAGACAACGUCGUCUGCAUCAGCGAACACUGUAGACAGCGGUGCGUUGACGCUUCAUCUGUUUGCCCUUCGCCACCCGUUACUUUCCAUCGCUGAUGGUGCCGCGGCUGAUGUCACACCGUCUUGUGGCGCUGCUGAGGCCUCCUCCAACUCGCUGGUGGCGCUUGCGGAGUCGAUGGAGCUGUCCGAGCUGAGCAUGAACAAUCAGCUCUUCUUUUUCCCCCUUCUGGGGGCCAGUGAGACUGACUGCAACCCUCUUGCCAAAAAUCAUGUCGGUGCCGGCGCCACCGACUCCUACUGGGCUGCGCUGCGGCGAGAAGAGGCGGAGGUGGAGGAGGCAGCAGCUGCGAGUCUCUCCGUCGGCGCCGGUGAUCCUCCCAUCACAAGGCGUGCACUAGUGCUGCUCUACACUCAUGAGACAAGGUUUGGCUUUGACGGCGACGACUUGCUUCUGCUCGGGUGCUGCGCUUCUAUCUGCGCUUGCAUUGCAGCUGGCAUCUGCUGCUGCAUGGACGCCGCAAAGAACAAUCAGCAACCCAACCACGUCAACACGAAACCGAACUACUACGGCGGCAAUGGUGUACCCCAGUACUACAACAACGGCGCCGGCAACGCUUACUACGGGCAGCAGCCGCAGCAGAGCUAUUACAACAGUGGGGCGCCCGGGUACGGCAUGCCACCGAACGCGUAUGCCAACACCAAUACGAAUGUGCUUCAGCCGCAGCCGCUGCAUCAGAACUAUUACGGCGGUGGGUACCAGUACCAGCCGCAGAACCAGCAGCUGAAUGGUAUUCCCAUUCAAUCUGCUACGUACGUUCCGAGCGCACCUGCAGCAGGACCGCUAUAGCCGCCGGCAGCGAGGAGAGACGAGGCUUCCUCACUGGCUCCCCCCUAAAAGCAUAACCAGGCGCCACAUUUGGAUGCCUUUGUCUGUGUCUCUACUGCGGCGUGUCGGAAAGCACGUUGUGUGGGAGAGAACGCUUUUGGCGGAAACCAAGACGAAGAGAGCCAACGAAAACAAACAAGGAAUGUGCUUUCGCGUCGCGCGGGCGUUGUUCCCGCUGCCCCGCUGUCCCCCUCAUGCUGCUCUCGGCUGCACUCUUGCCUCUUAGGUGUUUUUGCUUUCCCUUUUUAUAUGCAUUUUGCAUGCGGUGUGCGUGUGUGUGAGAGGCAAUUCCACACACACGCGCACACACACACACCGCCUUUCCCUUGCUCAUACACACCCCUUCUCUGUUCAGCGCCACUGUCCACCACCCACCCCCUCACUUCCGUAUGACCUUCCCGUCUCUUCCAUUUCUGGGCUCCUGCUUGAAUUCGGCUGCGUUCAUUUUGUUUCUUUUUCUUCUUUUUUUUUGUUUGUUUCCUCCCACCAGCACGGUUAGGAAGGGAGCUGGGCGAGCUAGCAUGAAAUGAGCGUAAAGAAGGGAUGGAAGUAUGGGAAGGAUGGUUGACGAGUGAUGCGCUUCGUCAUGGCCCAUGCUAUGUAGUCCCGGAGUGUGAUGCCAGCAUCAUGAAAAGCAAAGAAAGUGUCGCUCAACCUGUACCUCUCUGUUUCUGUAGCCGCUCUCUCCCUGUUCCACUUUCCUCCCUCUCGUUCUUUCCGUAUUGUUGUUUUCAGCUGCACCCCCCCCUCUACCUCCCUCUCCCCGCUACACCCCCACCCACACACACGCGCGGUCACAUCCAUCCAUUCAUUCGCUCUCUUGCCUCCUCUCCCCUCCUUCUGGCGUCUUCCUUCCUUUCACACAUGCUCUUUUACCUUUCAUUUUUUUGUUGUUGUUUCUUUUCGUCCUUUUGCUUGAUGCUCCCUCAUGACGAUGCCGGGCCACUCCACCUGCGGUAUCGCACAGGGCGCAGCGCCCCGAUCUUCGUGGGGAUGCCAAGUAGCCGGCGCAGCCUGCCCUUGGGGACGGCUGGCGACUCGCGGUGUCCGGCGGACAAGUCGGAGCUGGCGGUGUGCCGAAGAGGCGUGCGGUCAUGAUCACGUUCGUACCAGCUCACCGCCAACCGUGUCAAUGAUUCAACAAGUAUACGCAUCCAGCUACUGUUGUUAUGUUUUAGUUGCGUCGCGGUGACGUCGAGUGUGAACGAUGGGCCUAGCCGGCGCUGUAUGCAGUGGCACUGCGCUCGGUUGUGCGACGCCGAACGGUGUUGGUUGGCCAGAUCCCUCGUCAUAGACGCAGUGCAAUAGUGAAAAGUGAACAGCUGUGGCUUUGCAGGCGCGUAUUUGUUGCUGACUUGCUCGUGUUGGGAUGACCAUGUGGAGCAGAACAAGAAGAAGGCAAUAUGUUCUACUUUUACGUGGGUGGGUGUCUUUAAUAUAUAUGUGUGUGUCUCUACACCCCUCUCCUUCCUUCCCUCCCUCCCUCCCUCUCUCCUUCUCUCUCUUUAUCCCUCCCACUCCCAUAUGGCCGUGUGUCUCACCCAGUUCCUGCCUUCCUCCUCUUCUUCAUUUGUAUGGCAUUGUUCGUUUCCUUCUCUGCAGUGUGUGUUGUGGUGAAGGCGGCACCUAGCGGCGUAGGUUUGGCCCCUCGGUUUACUUUUCCAUGGAGGUGGUGCGCCAAGGCUCCUCCAACUUUCUUCCCUUCUUUUUCUUUUUUUGCGGAUUUCUGUGUUGUUUGUAUGCAUGCGUGUGUGAAGGGGAAAGAGAGGGCGAGGGGCUUGUGGGCUGCCGGUGUUUCUUUUAUUGUUUUCUUUUUUUCUUGCCGUUGUGCAAGCUGGGUACGAAAGGUGGGAAGGAUGGAAGCGAUUUUGUUUGUGUAUGUGUGUCUAUCUUCGUGUGUAGGGUGGCUUGAAGAAGCGGUGCCGUCGUGACAGUCACCGCCUUCCCAUAUGUGUGCUCUCCUUUCCCCUCUUUCUUUGCGUGCAUCUUCGAUGUGUCUUCUUGUUUGUUUUCCGUUGGUUUUGUUUCAUGGCUUGCGCGCUUGUGUGAGCUUGUGUGUGUGUGUGUCUUCUGACCUCUUCCUCUCGCUCCUCCUUACCCUCCCGGAUACAUCACACCAUUUCUCCGGUUUCCUGCCUCACCACGUCUUCUUCUCCCCGUUUCCUCUCCCCGCCCCGCCCCCUGAGUAAGUUAUACGUGCUGCAGGUGAGGGAAUGCCUCGUGCGAAGUGUUUGGGAGGGGCGGAGGAGCGGCUGAACAAACAG
Molecule: unclassified non-coding RNA, 3720 nt
Filed under: Leishmania donovani
Lineage: Eukaryota; Euglenozoa; Kinetoplastea; Trypanosomatida; Trypanosomatidae
Description: gene:LdHU3.25.1010(CDS-product:hypothetical_prote in_conserved)
Source: RNAcentral